Non-coding RNA from Cymbomonas tetramitiformis, 78 nucleotides. The record is from the annotation of a GenBank genome assembly. NCBI's taxonomy places the organism in Eukaryota, Viridiplantae, Chlorophyta, Pyramimonadophyceae, Pyramimonadales, Pyramimonadaceae.
GCUUCGCGCAGCUCAGUUGGUUAGAGCGUCGCACUAGAGAAGCGAACGUCACGCGGGUUCAAAUCCCGUCGUGGAGCA